Molecule: long non-coding RNA, 820 nt
Organism: Ostrea edulis (European flat oyster)
Lineage: Eukaryota; Metazoa; Mollusca; Bivalvia; Ostreida; Ostreidae
Exons: 3
Source: RefSeq, a predicted model, not a curated record
UGAAUCGAUGAUUGAGAGGGUCGUCUCGACGAAAGAUAUACAAAUUUGGCCAUAGUUUAGAUAAGGAAUACGUCAAUGUAAUAAUAGUGGACUAAAUGUUUCGUCCGUGCAGAAUGGCACUUUUUACCUCACGAAAUUCACCACCAUGCAUAGCUGCGCUACGUAAACAAAGUUGUUGAUGUAGCGUGAUCGUGAUGUCCGAGUGCUGCGAGUUUCAAUACUGUUUAUGUAGUCAUUAAGAGUUUAAACAAAGUUUGUUCUGAGAAGAGGAAUUCGAUGGAUGCAUUCAACGUGGACAACGAAAUCAUUAUUUCGUUUGCAUCAUCCUAAGGACCAGUGCAAGUUGAAAUGGGCUUCCAGCUAACAACUUCAACAGCAAUUUGCCAUGAAAAUCAGCAAGAAAGGUACUUCAUUUACAUUGAUGAUGUCAUAUCCCCUGGACACCACAACUUUACAGGUUACAGAGAAAAUUCAAGAACUUCUGCAAAAUGUGGGACUUGGAUAGAAUCAAUAAUGUAUUUGUGAGCCCAGAGCAAUGGAUAUAUUGUGGAACAUACUAAAGUGAAUUUAAUGGAAAACAAGUACAUGUACUCAUGUAUUACAUGUCUUUUUUAAAGACAAUAACAUUGUAUAAAUAUAGAGGAAGUGUCAUUGUUGAUUAUUCUAAGUUUUUGAUAUAUCAAAAUCAGUAAACAUUUCUAAAUGAAAAUAAAAUACCAAUUUUAUAACUUUAAUCAAUGUGUUUGAAUUUCUCAUUUUCUAACCCCACCCCACCCCCGUUACACACACUCGGUGCAUAUAUACUGUGAAUGCAAUAUGC